UACGUAGGGACCAAGCGUUGUUCGGAUUUACUGGGCGUAAAGGGCGCGUAGGCGGCAUGACAAGUCACUUGUGAAAUCUCCGGGCUUAACUCGGAACGGCCAAGUGAAACUGUCAAGCUAGAGUGCAGAAGGGGCAAUCGGAAUUCUUGGUGUAGCGGUGAAAUGCGUAGAUAUCAAGAGGAACACCUGAGGUGAAGGCGGGUUGCUGGGCUGGCACUGACGCUGAGGCGCGAAAGCGUGGGGAGCGAACAGG
RNAcentral lists this ribosomal RNA (253 nucleotides) under uncultured bacterium. Its description in RNAcentral is "partial 16S ribosomal RNA". It matches the Rfam family "Bacterial small subunit ribosomal RNA", at positions 524 to 776 of the family's 1533-position model. The record is from RNAcentral.